AACGCCGCGGGGUGGGGGGCCACGUGCUUCCGGCGUGACCUACCGACCGGAAGUGGCCUGAGUCGGGUGGGAUAGGGUGGCGCCGCUAGGCCGGGAGGGCGGAGGCCCUGAGCCCCAGCCUCCCACCUCGGGGCCACAUUGGGAACCUUAUCAACAGCAUCGACACCUCCUCUGAUGGCCCCAGCCACAAUCUCUUCCACUUCCAGCUACUUGAGUCACUUCUGCCACCUCUGGGUGCCAUGAAAGCAAGGACUACCUCUGCUUUUUCAGACAGCUGUCUCCUCCGAGACCAUCACAGUGCCCGGCUCAUGGUAGGUGCUCAGUCAAAAGUGUGAAAUGAAUGAAUGGACCUAGAUUUGUGUCCUGGGUCUAUCAUUUUCCAGCUGCCUAAGUUUGGGAAAUUGGCCUCUCGGAAUCUCAUUCCCUUCCCUACAAAAGGG
RNAcentral lists this long non-coding RNA (440 nucleotides) under Callithrix jacchus (white-tufted-ear marmoset). RNAcentral's name for it is "lncRNA (ENSCJAG00000071184.1)". Lineage: Eukaryota; Metazoa; Chordata; Mammalia; Primates; Cebidae. The record is from RNAcentral.